This 519-nucleotide ribosomal RNA is filed under the name uncultured bacterium. RNAcentral's name for it is "bacterial SSU rRNA". It matches the Rfam family "Bacterial small subunit ribosomal RNA", at positions 389 to 896 of the family's 1533-position model. The record is from RNAcentral.
CAGCGACGCCGCGUGGAGGAUGAAGGCUUUCGAGUUGUAAACUCCUGUUAAGUGGGAAGUAAAUGUUUCGGGUUAAUACCUCGGGGAAGAUGACGGUACCACUAGAGAAAGCACCGGCAAACUUCGUGCCAGCAGCCGCGGUAAUACGAAGGGUGCGAGCGUUAUUCGGAGUUACUGGGCGUAAAGAGCAUGUAGGCGGUUUAUUAAGUUAGUUGUUAAAUUCCAUGACUUAACUGUGGGCGUGCGGCUAAUACUGAUAAGCUAGAGCAUAGAAGAGAGAAGUGGAAUUCCCGGAGUAGCGGUAAAAUGCGUAGAUCUCGGGAGGAACACCGGUUGCGAAGGCGGCUUCUUGGUCUAUUGCUGACGCUAAAGUGCGAAAGCGUGGGGAGCAAACAGGAUUAGAUACCCUGGUAGUCCACGCUGUAAACGAUGGUCACUGGAUGUGGGUUGGGCAUAGCCUAAUCUGUGUCGAAGCUAACGCGUUAAGUGGCCCGCCUGAGUAGUACGGUCGCAAGAUUA